This is a long non-coding RNA of Alosa sapidissima (American shad), 1010 nucleotides long. RefSeq lists it as uncharacterized. The record is from RefSeq and is a predicted model, not a curated record. The transcript has 3 exons. NCBI's taxonomy places the organism in Eukaryota, Metazoa, Chordata, Actinopteri, Clupeiformes, Clupeidae.
UCUUUCCAUCUGUAGCUCUGCGUCUCCCUUACUCUGCCGUGGCUGUAUGGAACCUGACCUGUCUAGCAUUAGAUAACUCUCCCCUGCAGCUUAUGACGACGGCACGGCGUGUCUGUUUUAAGCAUUCUUUAGGCCUACUGGCUAAUCAGUGACCAAGUGUUUGGUAGCAUGGCUUCGUCAAGUUUGCUUGUUUAGUGUGGUCACGCUGCUGUCUUGUCCAUAGCAUUAGUUUUCAUUUAUUUUUGUGUUUACGUCAUCACAGCUCCUCCGUGUCGCGGUAGCUGACCUGUUUGUGUUGCUCUUUGCUUGAUUGGGAUUUCCCAGGCGGGUUUGUUUUUUUGUUUGUUUGUUUGUUUUUGUUUGCUGGUCUGUUUUGCUUUUGCCUUAGUGUGUGUGUAAUCGUGUUUUCUGAGUUUGUAGUGUGUCUGCAUGCCUAGCUUUUAUCCCAGCGAGGAUUAUUUCCCUGGCUCAAAAGCUUUACAUCUUUAAUUGGUAUAACCUACAUGCUGGUGUUUGUGGUUGCUGUGCUCCUUUUUUUGACCAGUUUAUGUGUUGGCAGGCCUGUGGGUUAGCUUCGGCGGGGGGGUAGCUAGUCACCUGGUGGCGGGCUUGUGAACUUCACUUUGGAGUGUACUAUGGAAUAUCGGUGGUGGCUUGCUGUGACAAUGGUGUAACACUUUUCUGCAGUGAGAGUGCACGUGUGGACACCUUCCUUGAUAGUCUGCUUCCCCCCCAUCCAGGUAAGCCCCGCCUGCCAGUAUAAUUUUCUGUUUUAUUUUGGUGUGUGCAACAUUCCCAGCUGAUGUGUUAGAAUUGCUUGUGCUAUUUAACUCAUGUCAUGCAUCCUACACGACAGUAAAAAGAUACAAUAAGAAACUAAAAUAAAGUAUAUUUUUAUAUGUUUCUAACCCCUGCCAGUUAUUUUCAGUUUCAGCAACAGAUCACACCACACUCCCCCCUCCCUCUCCCCAACAGUGCUUUCAAUAAACGGACAUUUGAUUUGAUUGGAA